GGGAAGGUGGCUCAGUGGUAGAGCGCUUGCCUUGCAUGCAUGAGGCCCUGGGUUCCUUCCAUUCCU
This is a non-coding RNA of Dipodomys ordii (Ord's kangaroo rat), 66 nucleotides long. The record is from Rfam. NCBI's taxonomy places the organism in Eukaryota, Metazoa, Chordata, Mammalia, Rodentia, Heteromyidae.